UACGAAGGGUGCAAGCGUUACUCGGAAUUACUGGGCGUAAAGCGUGCGCAGGCGGUUGGUUAAGUCUGAUGUGAAAGCCCCGGGCUCAACCUGGGAAUGGCAUUGGAAACUGGCUAGCUGGAGUGUGGCAGAGGGGGGUGGAAUUCCGCGUGUAGCAGUGAAAUGCGUAGAGAUGCGGAGGAACACCGACGGCGUAGGCAGCGCCCUGGACGACACCUGACGCUGAGGCACGAAAGCUGGGGGAGCGAACAGG
Molecule: ribosomal RNA, 253 nt
Filed under: uncultured bacterium
Lineage: Bacteria
Description: partial 16S ribosomal RNA
Rfam family: Bacterial small subunit ribosomal RNA
Source: RNAcentral